RNAcentral lists this ribosomal RNA (1720 nucleotides) under Haemophilus influenzae PittGG. RNAcentral's name for it is "bacterial LSU rRNA". It matches the Rfam family "Bacterial large subunit ribosomal RNA", at positions 1221 to 2925 of the family's 2925-position model. The record is from RNAcentral. Lineage: Bacteria; Pseudomonadati; Pseudomonadota; Gammaproteobacteria; Pasteurellales; Pasteurellaceae.
CUGUUGGGUAGGGGAGCGUUGUGUAAGCGGAAGAAGGUUCAUCGAGAGGUGGGCUGGACGUAUCACAAGUGCGAAUGCUGACAUAAGUAACGAUAAAACGGGUGAAAAACCCGUUCGCCGGAAGACCAAGGGUUCCUGUCCAACGUUAAUCGGGGCAGGGUGAGUCGGCUCCUAAGGCGAGGCUGAAAAGCGUAGUCGAUGGGAAACAGGUUAAUAUUCCUGUACUUGGUAAAGCUGCGAUGUGGGGACGGAGUAGGUUAGGUUAUCGCACUGUUGGAUAUGUGCGUUUAAGUUGGUAGGUGGGAAGUUUAGGCAAAUCCGGACUUCCUUAACACAGAGAGAUGAUGACGAGGCUCUACGGAGCUGAAGUAACUGAUACCACACUUCCAGGAAAAGCCACUAAGCGAAAGGCUUUACUAAACCGUACUGAAAACCGACACAGGUGGUCAGGUAGAGAAUACUCAGGCGCUUGAGAGAACUCGGGUGAAGGAACUAGGCAAAAUAGCACCGUAACUUCGGGAGAAGGUGCGCCGGCGUAGAUUGUAAGGGCUAGCCCCUGAAGGUUGAACCGGUCGAAGAUACCAGCUGGCUGCAACUGUUUAUUAAAAACACAGCACUCUGCAAACACGAAAGUGGAGGUAUAGGGUGUGAUGCCUGCCCGGUGCUGGAAGGUUAAUUGAUGGUGUAAUCGCAAGAGAAGCACCUGAUCGAAGCCCCAGUAAACGGCGGCCGUAACUAUAACGGUCCUAAGGUAGCGAAAUUCCUUGUCGGGUAAGUUCCGACCUGCACGAAUGGCAUAAUGAUGGCCAGGCUGUCUCCACCCGAGACUCAGUGAAAUUGAAAUCGCCGUGAAGAUGCGGUGUACCCGCGGCUAGACGGAAAGACCCCGUGAACCUUUACUAUAGCUUGACACUGAACAUUGAAUUUUGAUGUGUAGGAUAGGUGGGAGACUUAGAAGUAGUCACGCCAGUGAUUAUGGAGUCGACCUUGAAAUACCACCCUUUAACGUUUGAUGUUCUAACGAAGAUGACGAAACGUGGUCUCGGACAGUGUCUGGUGGGUAGUUUGACUGGGGCGGUCUCCUCCCAAAGCGUAACGGAGGAGCACGAAGGUUUGCUAAUCACGGUCGGACAUCGUGAGGUUAGUGCAAUGGUAUAAGCAAGCUUAACUGCGAGACAGACAAGUCGAGCAGGUACGAAAGUAGGUCAUAGUGAUCCGGUGGUUCUGAAUGGAAGGGCCAUCGCUCAACGGAUAAAAGGUACUCCGGGGAUAACAGGCUGAUACCGCCCAAGAGUUCAUAUCGACGGCGGUGUUUGGCACCUCGAUGUCGGCUCAUCACAUCCUGGGGCUGAAGUAGGUCCCAAGGGUAUGGCUGUUCGCCAUUUAAAGUGGUACGCGAGCUGGGUUUAGAACGUCGUGAGACAGUCGGUCCCUAUCUGCCGUGGGCGUAGGAGAAUUGGUUGGGGCUGCUCCUAGUACGAGAGGACCGGAGUGGACGCACCACUGGUGUUCCGGUUGUGUCGCCAGACGCAUUGCCGGGUAGCUAAGUGCGGAAGAGAUAAGUGCUGAAAGCAUCUAAGCACGAAACUUGCAAGAGAUGAGUUCUCCCAAUCUAAGAGAUAGUAAGGGUUGUUGUAGACUACGACGUAGAUAGGUCUGGUGUGUAAGUGUAGUGAUACAUUGAGCUAACAGAUACUAAUUGCCCGAGAGGCUUAACUAU